Chlorocebus sabaeus (green monkey) is the source of this 83-nucleotide microRNA precursor. NCBI's taxonomy places the organism in Eukaryota, Metazoa, Chordata, Mammalia, Primates, Cercopithecidae. The record is from Ensembl.
GGGAGUGGGAAGCCAGGGCACAGUAAGGAGAGCUGCACAUCGGUCAGAGGGGCCCCAGCGUCUGAGCCCUGUCCUCCUGUAGG